UACGUCCAUAUCAUGUUGAAACCCCAGUUCCCAUCGAAUCAGCAAAGUUAAGCAACGUCGAGCCUGUUCAGUACUAGAUGUGUGGCUAUUUGGAAAUACCAGAUAUUGCAAG
Non-coding RNA from Acanthosepion pharaonis, 112 nucleotides. The record is from the annotation of a GenBank genome assembly. NCBI's taxonomy places the organism in Eukaryota, Metazoa, Mollusca, Cephalopoda, Sepiida, Sepiidae.